Molecule: small nucleolar RNA, 102 nt
Organism: Coffea eugenioides
Lineage: Eukaryota; Viridiplantae; Streptophyta; Magnoliopsida; Gentianales; Rubiaceae
Product: small nucleolar RNA snoR99
Exons: 1
Source: RefSeq, a predicted model, not a curated record
UUGCUUCAGGGAUUUAGAAGUUCCUGAUAUGCAAUUUCAUCCAUCCAAUCACUUUGUCAGCAAUACCAUAUGUUUUGCUGGUCAUUCAAGGAUGGAAUACCA